RNAcentral lists this ribosomal RNA (257 nucleotides) under uncultured bacterium. RNAcentral's name for it is "partial 16S ribosomal RNA". It matches the Rfam family "Bacterial small subunit ribosomal RNA", at positions 524 to 776 of the family's 1533-position model. The record is from RNAcentral.
UACGUAGGUGGCAAGCGUUGUCCGGAAUUAUUGGACGUAAAGCGCGCGCAGGUGGUUCUAUAAGACAGAUGUGAAAUCCCCGGGCUCAACCUGGGAACUGCAUUUGUGACUGUAGAGCUGGAGUGCGGCAGAGGGGGAUGGAAUUCCGCGUGUAGCAGUGAAAUGCGUAGAUAUGCGGAGGAACACCGAUGGCGGAAGGCAAUCCCCGUGGGCCUGCACUGACGCUCAUGCACGAAAAGCGUGGGGGAGCAAACAGG